GUUAGUAGGUGCUCAGUGUUUGUAGAAUUAAACGGAAUUUAUUUUAAAAGGCAGACAGGGGCCGUCCGGUGGCGUAACGGUUAAGUUCGGGCGCUCCGCUUCAGCAGCCCAGGGUUCGCAGGUUUGGACCUAUGGUUUGGGGACCUGAUAUGUUUCCCUUCCAGUCAGAUCUUAAAUUUAAGAUAGGAGAGGGAAGGAGGUAUUAGCACAAUUAACCCUCCGAUAGUGGACUUGCAGCUCUCAGUGGAAGGUUUUCUUGGUGGUGGGGAAAAAGGGAGAAGAGCCUUCCCUUUGGUUCUCACGUCAGCCGGGGCACCGCGCCGCACCGGUCAGUACGGUUACCCGUGCUUGUCCUCCUUGCUCUCCGUUAACUCAGCGCCCAGUAAGGGCCGCACUGAGCCGAGCCCUGUGCAAGCAGCCCGUGGAGGGAGGGACUGUUGUUAUGUCCAGUGUAUUCAUCAGGACCUUCGGGUCAGAGAGGCCCCUGGGUGACACCACUGGCCAGGGCAAGGGCCUGGGUCACAAAUCCUCCUUCUGCCUGUCCCCCGACACCUGCCCCACCGCUGCCUCUGGGCCUGAAGUCACAGCAAGUAGCCCUCUUCUCUCCAGCUCGGAGCUCGCCCCCAGUGAUCCCUUUGGACAAACACCUGUCCGGUCUGGUCUCAAAGCUUAUGCCAAAUCAAGUUCUUGUUCUGCAGGUAGAGGCAGGGGAUGGAAAAAUCCACAGAUUCCACUUUGAAAAGAACUUCAAUUUGGGGGCAAGGGAGGGGUGGAAAGAGGAGAGGUAUAGGAAAUGAUUCAGAAACAGCUGAACUUUGAAAAACAGCAGAAAAAUCUCUCAGGCGCUGCAGAGCAGUGCAUUUUUAAAUGAAGCUGUGCCAAGGGACUGAAAAAUUGCUUAUGAGCAGAGGACAGCGGCCCAGGGAGCAGUUGAACUGACAGGGCCGACGGAACUGCUGGGAGCGCGGUUUCUUCAGAGGCAGCAAGAGAAACUCAGAGCGUGUUCUUCAUCACCGAAUUCCAGGAGGUCACCAAAUUCUACAGCAGCCCAAUAGUACGACCGCUAAAUAUGACAGGUCCCAGCUACAACAGCCACUAAGUACUACGGCCACUAAGUACUACAGACCCUAACUACUACGCCAGAGGGUCCUGUCACCUAUAGUUUCCCCUGCUAGUUCACCUUGGCUAUCCAGAGAAACUCGAGGAGGUGGAAGAAGCCUGGGCCUUAAUGUGGUGACCACAGGAACUCAGCACAGUGCUCGUGGGGCGCGUCAUGGUUAGGGGGGAACUCUAUAAGCAGAAUUCCAGCCCUGCAGCAGCCUGAUUCUCCCCUGUUUGAGGGGACUGUUCCACACGGAGGAGGAGGAGGAUGUGGCUGCUGGCCCAGCUGAGGGUCUCCGGAGGCUCCGAGGCACCCCCUGAACUGACUCUUCUGGGAAGCAAAGACAUUCCAGUGCUGUGCAAGCCUUCAGGGUUUGCUUUCUUGUCAAUGAUACUUUCCAUGAAUGCUUUCACAAUGAAGCAUACUCAUUAUAGACAAUAUGAAAAGUGCAGAAAAAUAUAAAGAAGUCGAAAAACAAUGACUGAUGGUCCAUUACCCAGAGGCAACCACUAGUAAACUCUGGCAUAUUGUCUUUCAGUCUUCUCUGCUGUUUUCUUUUCCUUUACAUAGUUGAGAUCACACUGCACUCUUAAUUUUGUGUCAUG
RNAcentral lists this long non-coding RNA (1707 nucleotides) under Equus asinus (donkey). RNAcentral describes it as "lncRNA (ENSEASG00005028980.1)". Lineage: Eukaryota; Metazoa; Chordata; Mammalia; Perissodactyla; Equidae. The record is from RNAcentral.